UAGACACGGGCCAAUGCCCCUGAGCGGUCAGCCAGCCUUGCAACCAGUGACUGAUAACUCGCCAAAGCUUAGCUCCACACCACACUGCAUGAAACUACCCAUCCCUCUCACUCCGUCGAUAACUGAAAAGAACCUUCGAUUUCCGGUUUCGUUCUUCAAUUCGCAUUUUCCCAUGUAAUCUCUGGCUGGAAAGUUGUCAGAUUUUUUUCCUGUUUGCGGUAAAACGCCUGAGUUGUUUCAUGGAAAAACAGAAUCAAGCGGAGAUGGUAAAUACUAGUCGGCCUUGUUUCUUCGAGAUUUUCUCCUCUAAUUUAACCUCGGAUCGACUGAGAAUACCUGUAGGAUUCACCAAACAUAUGGAAGGACGAAUAUCUGGAUUGGUUUCUUUAACCGGUCCUAGUGGGAAUGUUUGGCAUGCUUACUUAACUCAGCAGGACAAUGAUGUAUUCCUUGAUCAUGGAUGGCCAACUUUUGUGAAAGAUCAUCUUAUAGAAUGUGGUGACGUUUUGAUUUUCAGAUAUGAUGGAGAAUUGUGUUUCUCAGUUCAAGUAUUUGAUAUAAGUGCAUGUGAGAAAGAAGCUGCAUUUCAUUCUAAAUGCAGCCAAGAUCCCAGCCAGUUGUACAAAAGUAUUGGACAGAAGAGAGAAAGGGAGGAAAGAGCUGCAUCUUCUGAUAAAAAUUGUGAAUACGUGUUGAAAAAGGUUAGGGGGGACUCUUCUGAACUUUAUUCGGAACACAUAAACAAGAGCUUGGGGGCUGGACUGGUUAUAAGUAAUAAGGAAGGAUGCCAGCUUGAGGAGGUAAAUACAACUAAAAAAUGCCCAGAAGAGAGUUCCUCCCAUGAAAAAUGUUAUAGUCCAUGCCCGAUUUCUGUCAUUCCCCCUCAAUCAAAACCUUGCUAUCAAAGUUCUGAGGCAGACGUCCAGAAGAGAAUUGGAAAAGAAGAUGAUCUACCUGACAGAGGUUGUGGGUCAGUGUUGUUGCAACGUGAGAAAAGAGUUGCUCAGUCUUUUAUCUCUUGCUUUCCUUAUUUUGUAAGGAUCAUGAAAAGGUUCAACGUCAGUGGUUCAUACACUCUGAAUAUACCAUACCAAUUUUCUACAGCUCAUCUUCCAAAUUGCAAAACAGAAAUUGUCCUUCGCACUGUCAAAGGAGCAUGUUGGAGUGUGAAUUCCGUGCCAACAACAAGAGUGCACACAAGUCAUACUUUCUGUGGAGGAUGGAUGGCAUUCGUUCGCAGUAAUGACAUCAAAAUAGGAGAUGUUUGUAUUUUUGAACUUGUGCGCAAAUGUGAAUUGCGUGUAUUUAUUCUUCGAGUUGGAAAGGAAGUUUUGGAAAAGCAAAGUGGAGAAGUAGCUUCUAAUGAGGCAACUGUUGGUUGCACUGCCACUGCACAUAAAAGUGACAUUUUUCCGAAGAAAUCCAGAAAAAAUGCUUUAAAGGUCCAUUCACGACCCAUAACAAAGGUAGAAAUGUGUGACAAAAAGGACUCUAAUAAGAGUCAAGUAGCUUCCAAUCACGCAAGGAAAUGUAGCAAUGCAAUAAAGAGUUCUGCCAGUGCUAUGCUGUGCUCUCAGUCAAGAGCUGUCAAUGAAAAGCUGGAUGUGGCCAUUAACAGUGGAAAGAAUUUAGAUGUGAGUUCACAUGAUGGAGUUGGUGGGAGAGUAAUGUUAGCACUUCAUGAAGAGAAAGCAGCCAAGUCUUUUAACUCACGUUUUCCAAAUUUUGUCAGAAUUAUGAGGAAGUUCAACAUCAGUGGUUCAUAUACUCUGAAAAUUCCCCACCAGUUUUCUGCAGCACAUCUCCCCAACUGCAAAACAGAGAUAGUCCUUCGUAAUUCACAAGGAAUAUGCUGGACAGUGAAUGCAGUCCCAGACUCAAAAGGGCGAAGAAUACAUACAUUUUGUGGAGGAUGGAUGGCCUUUGUUCGCGAUAAUUAUAUCAAUAUGGGGGAUGUCUGCAUAUUUGAACUUGUUAGUAAGUGUGAAAUGCUAGUGCAUAUAUCUGGAGUUGGAGGAAAAACACUCCAGCCUCCUUCAUGAGGCGUGUUGAACAGUUGAAGAAUUCAGUCAUCACUAAAAAUAUUCGAGUGAGAGGCUGAGGGCUAGUUGACGUGCCUGUACAUGCACACUCAAGGAAACAAUAUUGCUGAUGAAGAUGGAAGUGGAAACGUCUUUUCCUUGGUGAAACAUUGUGCAGAAGUUAUCCUUUUAUCAAGAAGCAACCACCUUGAAUGUACAUGCAAUGCUCCCUCAGUGCUUCUGUUCAUUUUAGCUUGCACUUGCAGCCUAGCAUGCGUUGAAGACAAAACUGAAGUCGUCAAGUAAACUGUAAAAACUUUUAAGUAUUUGAUUCUACCUGCUAACGUUUAGCAGUCUGGUGAAAUCUUAACAGCAGGUUUAAUAGUUAAUUUCCCUACCACUGAGCAAACCAAGUUCAAAAAAAAAAGGGGGGAAUAUGGUUAGGGUUGCUGCUUUAUAACUUGGAGACAAUACUUUGUGAACGUAACCAAGGAUAAUAUGAUUAAAAAAUUGGUGUUCA
This is an RNA transcript of Manihot esculenta (cassava), 2541 nucleotides long. It is a transcript of the gene named B3 domain-containing protein Os01g0723500, with no coding region annotated. Lineage: Eukaryota; Viridiplantae; Streptophyta; Magnoliopsida; Malpighiales; Euphorbiaceae. The transcript is spliced from 7 exons. The record is from RefSeq and is a predicted model, not a curated record.